Molecule: non-coding RNA, 85 nt
Organism: Felis catus (domestic cat)
Lineage: Eukaryota; Metazoa; Chordata; Mammalia; Carnivora; Felidae
Source: Rfam
GCCUGGGUGGCUCAGUCAGUUAAGCGUCUGACUUCAGCUCAGGUCAUGAUCUCACGGUCUGUGAGUUCGAGCCCCAUGUCAGGCU